Molecule: ribosomal RNA, 777 nt
Filed under: uncultured Neocallimastigales
Lineage: Eukaryota; Fungi; Neocallimastigomycota; Neocallimastigomycetes; Neocallimastigales
Description: partial large subunit ribosomal RNA
Rfam family: Eukaryotic large subunit ribosomal RNA
Source: RNAcentral
CAUCACUACGCUAGAUGCAUAUCAAUAAGCGGAGGAAAAGAAACUAACAAGGAUUCCCCUAGUAACGGCGAGUGAAGCGGGAAGAGCUCAAAUUUGAAAUCUUCAAGGGUUUACCUUUACGAAUUGUAGUUUAAAGAAGUGUUUUCUGUUGGAGUUUCGGUAAAAGUUCUUUGGAAUAGGACAUCAUAGAGGGUGAGAAUCCCGUAUUUGACCGUUACUUUCCAGCUGUGUGAUACACUUUCAAAGAGUCGGAUUGUUUGGGAAUGCAGUCCAAAAUGGGUGGUAAAUUUCAUCUAAAGCUAAAUAUUGGCGAGAGACCGAUAGCGAACAAGUACCGUGAGGGAAAGAUGAAAAGAACUUUGAAAAGAGAGUUAAACAGUACGUGAAAUUGUCAAGAGGGAAGCGUUUGACACCAGUGUUGUUUAGUUGAAAAUCAAUUCAAUAAUUUUUGAUUUUGAGUAGUAUUGACUUCAUCAGCUUGCUGCUUUCUUUUCAGAAAUUAUUGAAUGCACUUUUCAGUUAACAAGUCAACAUCAAUUUCUUUUGUUGUAAAAGGGUAAGAGGAAGGUGGCUUACGCUUCGGCGUAAGUGUUUAUAGCCUUUUACCUCUGCAAUCGGAGAGAUUGAGGAUCAGCAGCGUAGACUCCUUCGGGGUUAGAUACACUUGUGCUAAGCUAUAGCCUUGUAUAGACAACUUGUUGACUAUGCUCAGUCAUGUAGCUUACUCGCUUGUGCUAUUUUACCUACGCUUAGGAUGUUGACGAGACUGUCGAUCUC